GACGAACGCUGGCGGCGUGCUUAACACAUGCAAGUCGAACGAAGAGCGAUGGAAGCUUGCUUCUAUCAAUCUUAGUGGCGAACGGGUGAGUAACGCGUAAUCAACCUGCCCUUCAGAGGGGGACAACAGUUGGAAACGACUGCUAAUACCGCAUACGAUCUAAUCUCGGCAUCGAGGAUGGAUGAAAGGUGGCCUCUAUGUAUAAGCCAUCACUGAAGGAGGGGAUUGCGUCUGAUUAGCUAGUUGGAGGGGUAACGGCCCACCAAGGCGAUGAUCAGUAGCCGGUCUGAGAGGAUGAACGGCCACAUUGGGACUGAGACACGGCCCAGACUCCUACGGGAGGCAGCAGUGGGGAAUCUUCCGCAAUGGACGAAAGUCUGACGGAGCAACGCCGCGUGAGUGAUGACGGCCUUCGGGUUGUAAAGCUCUGUUAAUCGGGACGAAAGGCCUUCUUGCGAAUAUU
Molecule: ribosomal RNA, 463 nt
Filed under: Veillonella dispar
Lineage: Bacteria; Bacillati; Bacillota; Negativicutes; Veillonellales; Veillonellaceae
Description: bacterial SSU rRNA
Rfam family: Bacterial small subunit ribosomal RNA
Source: RNAcentral